UACGUAGGUGGCAAGCGUUGUCCGGAUUUAUUGGGUUUAAAGGGUGCGUAGGCGGCCUUAUAAGUCAGUGCUGAAAUAUCCCGGCUUAACCGGGAGGGUGGCAUUGAUACUGCAAGGCUUGAGUAGAGUUGAGGUUGGCGGAAUUGACGGUGUAGCGGUGAAAUGCUUAGAUAUCGUCAAGAACACCGAUAGUGAAGACAGCUAACUAAGCUCUAACUGACGCUGAGGCACGAAAGUGUGGGGAGCGAACAGG
This 253-nucleotide ribosomal RNA is filed under the name uncultured bacterium. RNAcentral describes it as "partial 16S ribosomal RNA". It matches the Rfam family "Bacterial small subunit ribosomal RNA", at positions 524 to 776 of the family's 1533-position model. The record is from RNAcentral.